UUCCAGCUGACAAGUCCCAAACAGGACGAAACGCGCGUCCUGGAU
Schistosoma margrebowiei is the source of this 45-nucleotide non-coding RNA. NCBI's taxonomy places the organism in Eukaryota, Metazoa, Platyhelminthes, Trematoda, Strigeidida, Schistosomatidae. The record is from Rfam.